This 335-nucleotide ribosomal RNA is filed under the name uncultured bacterium. RNAcentral's name for it is "bacterial SSU rRNA". It matches the Rfam family "Bacterial small subunit ribosomal RNA", at positions 335 to 672 of the family's 1533-position model. The record is from RNAcentral.
ACUCCUACGGGAGGCAGCAGUAAGGAAUAUUGCGCAAUGGGCGACAGCCUGACGCAGCGACGCCGCGUGGGGGAUGAAGGUCUUCGGAUUGUAAACCCCUUUCGGCAGGGAAGAUGGAACGGGCAACUGUUCGGACGGUACCUGCAGAAGCAGCCACGGCUAACUUCGUGCCAGCAGCCGCGGUAAUACGAAGGUGGCAAGCGUUGUUCGGAUUUACUGGGCGUACAGGGAGCGUAGGCGGUUGGGUAAGCCCUCCGUGAAAUCUCCGGGCCUAACCCGGAAAGUGCAGAGGGGACUGCUCGGCUAGAGGAUGGGAGAGGAGCGCGGAAUUCCCG